RNAcentral lists this long non-coding RNA (2023 nucleotides) under Homo sapiens (human). RNAcentral describes it as "small nucleolar RNA host gene 17". The stretch from base 947 to 1074 matches the Rfam family "Small nucleolar RNA SNORA71". The record is from RNAcentral. Lineage: Eukaryota; Metazoa; Chordata; Mammalia; Primates; Hominidae.
CUUCCUUGUCGUGUGGCCUCAGUCCUUCGCCGUCCCUCGCCGUCCUUCGCCAUCGCACGCCACCGCACCCCAUCUCUCGAAAUCUGCAGACAUCUUGAUUUUUCCCACGCUGUCUGUCAGGUCUCCGCCGCCACUCGACGCCAGGGCGCCGGGUGAGUCCACAGCAGGGCGCAUGGUCGGCUCCACUCUCACCAUCGGGGGAAACUGAGGCCCCGGGGAAGGCGGCCAGAGAGGUCAGGCCCUGUCCUUGGUGCAGUGUCUCGUCCUCUUUGCCGGAGUGAGCCCCCCAGGAUUCGCGUGUCCUCGGGAAAGACACUGGCAGGAGUGUCACAUGACUGCCGCCCCAUGUGUGUGAGAGGCGUCCUCUGGGAGAGCAUGGAUCCUGAGGUCCCAGGAUUGUCAGCUGACCUCUGUCCUGUGUGCCCAGUGGCCCCAGGUGACGUGUCUUCAAGAAGAGGCUGAGCUGCGGUGCUUGUAAGAGUCAUGUGCUGUUCCUGGGGCUUGGAUGAUGUAGGGGAAGCAAGGUGAAAGUGGUAUCCCGUGGUUCCACGUUCUGUCCUGCUGUGGGGCUGUCCCUCACAUGCUUUCAGUGGCUGUUGCAGAGGAAGAGCCUCCGGAAAUCUGCGUGGGUAAAGUGAGCUCCCCGGGGGAACCGUCCUCCUCCCUUGAGCGCUGGUGUGUCCAUAGUGUGCUGUGAUCUGGAUUAGCAGUGAGUUUUUCUUUCAGGGUGUGUGUGUAUGAUGUUAGGACCAUAUGCUCCUGACCUUUUCCAACCCAAAAGCGUUUCCAUUUUUUUAAUGCUGGAAGUGUCUUAACUCCUUUUGGGGUCUUAGAAGGACACACGGUGGCCGUGGCUGGGCCUCUGCUCAGCUGGGCUGCUCUCCCUGCCUCAGGCCCUUGACACCAGCCUCCCUCCCUUGCUGGCUCUCUUUCUGUCCUUCCCUGCUCUUGUAUCCAAAAGUGAUCAUGGGUUGCCUGUGUCCCGAUCAUUAACAGUGCAGGGGUAGGAGUGCUGAAAGACAUCUUCCCUGCGUUGGUCCAGCCUUCCCUUUCAAACCCUGGAGCUUUCCCACGCUGCAGCCUUUUUCCAACUAGGCUUUCAGAGCUUGGGCCUUUGUGGGCCCAUGUGAUGUGGUGACUAGACCCACCCCCUGACUUCUGAGGGUUCAUUUUGUCUUUUCAUGUUAGGGAUCCUCCUGCCAGAAACCAGUCUGCAUUUCUCUCUGGGCCCCACGCUGGAAUGAAUUCAGAUAGCAGUGAAGGGCACACGUGAGAACUGCGAAUCACGGGCUUUGCUUCAUGAAAUGUGAAAUCCACAUUGUUUCCACAGGCACCAUCAGUAAUGUCGAACAAAUGGAGAAAGUUGCAGGUGGGGCUAGGAAAGCUGUAUUCCUGUGGAUUACUCUAGCUGGUCAUUUGCCCCGAUUGUGAACUGCUUGAAAGAAAAACGAAACUUCUAAGAUGUUUGUCCUUUCAUGUCCUUUCUGUUGGGAUUUUUUAUUUGGUGUGCGUGAAUGAGGAGCUUCGCCCUGCUUGAAUGGGACCCCUCUCAGUGGUGUCAGCUUGGGGAGGAGGAGAUGGCCCUGGAGACUAAAUACUUGUAUGCUUUCUUACCCUCUUAGGUCUCAGCCUUAGAUCCAAGGACAGUCCAAGGAAGUCCUAAGACCAUGGAGUUGGUGAUCUGGGAUCUGGGUUUGCUGAUAUUUCUCACCGUGAAUCUCUUGGUGGUGUUUGUGGGCACGAGAGGGGCAGAGAAUGGAGAGUGAGGCUACCACAUGAAGCGUCACCAGAGCUGCUCCCUGCUGCCUGCUCAGAGCACCCCGGAUCCACUGUUCAAUCUGCACAAGAUUCGGGGUCCAGACAUGGGAGACUUCAGCUGCCUCAGAGGACCGUGGACAGGGAAGGCCAGCCUCGCAUCCCUCUGUCCAUGCCUGGAAUGACUUUAAUAACCAAGAGUUUUAUUUUUGAAUUUGUAGCUGUCGUUCACUUUUUACCCACCCAUUCAAUAAACCUUACAGAAUUG